This 497-nucleotide ribosomal RNA is filed under the name uncultured bacterium. RNAcentral describes it as "partial 16S ribosomal RNA". It matches the Rfam family "Bacterial small subunit ribosomal RNA", at positions 28 to 507 of the family's 1533-position model. The record is from RNAcentral.
GAUGAACGCUGGCGGCGUGCCUAAUACAUGCAAGUCGAGCGAACAGACGAGGAGCUUGCUCCUCUGACGUUAGCGGCGGACGGGUGAGUAACGCGUGGAUAACCUCCCUAUAAGACUGGGAUAACUUCGGGAAACCGGAGCUAAUACCGGAUAAUAUAUUGAACCGCAUGGUUCAAUAGUGAAAGACGGUUUUGCUGUAACUAAUAGAUGGAUCUGGGCCGCAUUAGCUAGUUGUUAAGGUAACGGCUUACCAAGGGAACGAUGCGUAGCCGACCGGACGGGGGGAUAGGCCGCACGGGAGCGGAGACAGGGUCCAGGCUCCUACGAGAGGCAGCAGAAGGGAACCUGAGGCAAUGGGGGAAAGCAUGACGGAGCAACGCGGCGUGAGUGACAAAGAUCUCGGGAUCGGAAAAACCGGUUAUGGGGGAAGAACAAAUUUGGAAGUAACUAUGCAGGUCGUGACGGUAACUAAUCAGAAAGCAACGGCUAACUACGUG